Macaca mulatta (Rhesus monkey) is the source of this 208-nucleotide non-coding RNA. Lineage: Eukaryota; Metazoa; Chordata; Mammalia; Primates; Cercopithecidae. The record is from RefSeq and is a predicted model, not a curated record.
UUCUACCUGAGAGGCAUAACGCAGGCCAACUGAUUCAUCGGAAUCAGGAUGGUAAUCGUAGAGGAUGCAGAUAGUUUGUGGGCACAGGAGCGAGAGAAUAUCAUCAUGAACUAUGAGAAGGGACACCGAGCCGGGCUGCCAGAGGACAUGGGGCCUGAGCCUGUUGGAAUCUACAACAACAUUGAUCGCUUUGGGAUUGUGCAGUGAG